RNAcentral lists this long non-coding RNA (5265 nucleotides) under Brassica napus (rape). Its description in RNAcentral is "long non-coding RNA (BNAP_LNC013328)". Lineage: Eukaryota; Viridiplantae; Streptophyta; Magnoliopsida; Brassicales; Brassicaceae. The record is from RNAcentral.
UUCAUUUUCUCUCUUCCUCUCUCUCUCUCUCUCUCUCUCUCAUACCUCUUCCCCUUCCCCUUCGAGUCUUCUCUGUUUAAUCUUCUCUUCUUCUCAACUAUUUUUUCUUGAAGUUUGGAUAUUGAGUUUGAUUUAGCAAUCCGCCUUCGACUCGGCCUCUGGUGCCUUCAACUCCGCCUCUGGUGCCUUCAACACUGCCUCUGGCGCCUUCAAUUCCAAACUCUGCUCCUGCGUUUGUCAUUCAAGAUACAUCUCUUUUACUCUUUAUCAAAAUUUAAUCUCAAACCUCUCUCUCGUCUCUUGUGUUUCCCUUUUUUUCCAAUUAUCCAGAUUAAACAAAGUAACGAGACUGUUGGGACAGGUGGGGAGAGCUUUCUCAGAGAUGAAAACGGCAACGAAGCUCAAGCACCACCGUCUUAAAUUCCAACCUAUUGUUAUUCUCCUCUACCUGAUGAUGAAGCCCAGAGGCGAGCCGUUUUUGAUUGGGCCGAGAUGAAGCUCUCUGAAUCCGCCGGUCAAGACUCUAACUCCACCGCGUCUCUGAAGAAGAGGAGAGAGGAUGAAAUAGAAGAGGAGAGAAGAUGAGGAAGACCAACACCGGAUCUGACAAAGCUUUGGUGUGGAGAUGGCAGAGGAAGCUAGUGGUGGUUGAGGUGGAGCCGAGCAAGAAGAAGAAGAGGAAGAGAGGUUUAGGUUUAGUAGGUUUAGGUUUAGUUGUUUGGUUUAGUUUGGUUAACUUUGAUGUACCGGUUUUAGAUUUAUAACAAUUUUGAUAUAUAAUUUUUUUUUUUAAUUUUUAAUAAGGUAAAUAAUAACACAAAAACAACGCUAUUAAAAAGUAUUUAGUUGCAUAUACAAAACCGCUAUAGUAUAUCGUAAUAUGAUAGCAGUGCAAAAAAACGAUAUCUAAUGUGUCUGGUCUACUAUGACGGGCGAUGAUACAGCGCUUUAUAAACGCUAUAGUAUCGUUAGAUAGCGUUUUUCGUCCGCUAAUAAAAGCUUUUUUUCUUGUAGUGUUAGCAUCCGAUUACAACAUCUUAUUAAUGUCAUCCUGAAAGAAACAGAGUGGCCUGCCUUAGCCCCGGAGUUGGACGACAUUAACCUUCUUGCUGCAAGAUUGCAAAAUGCUGUGUUUUCUCAUAUUUAUCGAUCUGUUAAUCUCCGUGCGGACUCCUUAGCAAAAGGAGGACGAUCACGAGCUCAAACCUUCUCAGAUGUAAACGUUAUGGUUCUCCGUAGGCCGGCUCUAGUAGCUAGCUUGAUCGAACCAGAGUGAUUUCUCAUAAAAGUUAGAUUGAUGACAAGAAAAAACAGUAAAUGUCAGUUUAUUUUACAGAUAACACCUGGAAAAUUGAUAAACUAAAAUUGGAUUUUAAUCUACUGUCAAGUUAACAGUGUAGUUGUAAUAUGUUUAGAUUCAAUUCCAGAGGACUAGUUCACACUUUAUCUUUAUGGGAUCAGAAUUAAGCUAAAAAGAAGUAGGGAUUUUAAGAAGAUGUAAAUAACGUAAGGAACAAGUAACAAGAUUAGGUUGUUUUCGAAUUGAUUAAGGGCGCUAGUCUAGGGUUUCUUUUCAGGCAAGGAGUUCGCGAACCAAGCAAUUAUUCAAGUUCAGUUUUUAACAAGUCUAAACUCGGAUCACUCAAGUUAAAUCAACCCACUUUCGUGGUGUUGAUUCCUUUGCAAAUCGGUCUUGAUGCCUAAACUCUCGUUUGGAUCAAGACGCGCCAGCAAGCUUUAGAGAUCAAGUCCGAUAUGUUCACAAUACACCCUAAUAUCUACUCUCGCUGACUAGGGAUGCAAAGCUAAUUUAAAUCAUAUCAGGUUAUCAAUCAAUGGUUAGCUAAAUCGAUUAACCCUAAUUCAUGCACUAAGUGAUCGGUUCAAUGCAAGCAAUAAGAACAGAUAUGAAUGUAGACAAUCUUACGAUGACUUAUCUAUGCUCAGUUUACGAAUCCAACACCCUAGAACCCUAAACUAACUCGGUGACUACUCAGACAUAACACAAGAACAGAGAAGCAUGAUUUCUGAAUAAUACUGCAUAUAAUAAAUAAUAUGAAUCAGAGGGUUCAGCAUAAUCUUCUAUAGGAGAUAUAUGGAGCCGUCUCCCUUACAAGUAGCAAAUCGCAAAUCGCAAGCUCUCUCCAGUCUUUCUUGCGUAAAACUAAGGUUUUGUUUAAAAUAAUAAAUAGGAAACUAUAUAUAUAUGAGCCACAGGCUGCUAGAGGAAGGAAAUAGGAAAUCUAAGGCAAAUCCCGAAAUAUUUGGAAACUUUUUUUUUUUAUCUCUGUCGCUGGAACAGACACUCAGGCUGCUCCGGCUGGCUGUUAUGCGCGAAAGACUCCAAAUCAUACUUUUCUCUCUUCUUUUCCUCUAGCUGGUCCAUUUCCCAUCCAAUACAACUCUAGACUUGUUAUGACUCAAAAGGGACUAAAAAGACUUGAUAAAACUUUGAAAACUAUUAGUAAGACAUACGUAUAAUGUGCCAAAAAUACAAUAUAUCAACUCUCCCAGACUUAGAUCCUUGUUUGUCCUCAAACAAAAUCAAGUACCAAGAACCGAGAGAAAGGUUUGAAAGUGUGGGAACUCGCUUAUUCUCAGCAACCAUACAAUAACCACGAAUCUCUAAACAAUAUAAGCAGUUUAGCUAAAACGACACAUCCUUACCAAGAACUCCACUGACUGCUGUUCAGAACGGCUCCAUACUCUGUAUCUCAUACCUGCCAAAGUUAAAACCUUCUAGACAAAACUCCUUAUAUUCAAUUAAGAGUAGUGUGAGCUUCUCAUCAUAGACAUUAGAUAGAGUGACGGUCUAGGUAUGAAACAUGCCUUUUGUGUUUAAGUGGAGCUAAUCAGUGUUUAGGGGUUACCAAAUUUCGUAGAGGAUGCAGGAUAUCGCGCAAAAUUGCAAGAGAGGAUAGAUCCAUUGAUGUCCGCAGCCUCUACUCGUUUUUGCAUGUUCUUCUGAUCUGCAUGGUUCUCAUCUCUUUUCUUUACACUCCUUCUAAUUCAGUGGCGUCUGUCUUUUCUUUUAGAAUCUUCUCCUUCUUCAUCACCUUAUUCUGAAGUACAUAAAGCUAAAAUAAAUAUUUUUUUUCUUCUUUUUUUUUUGAAUAAUACAUAGGUGAUGGUGACGAAGCAGGAGGUAACAAUUGUGAUAGCGACAUGCCACUGGAGUUCUUGACCUCCCAUUCAUUCUUGUCUCUCUUCUUUUCUUAGUUAGAUCAUCGGCGGCGGAGCGGCUGCUCCGUGUGCUUCCGCCUAUUCUUCAGCAGAAACUUCUGUUGCAUCAACGAGUAAGAGACUGUGUUGAUCCUUUCCUCUCCGGCCAUUUUGUACAUAUCUGCACAUAAGAUACUGAAUAACAAAUGCAUGAGGGCGGAACAAAGGCUGUAGGGUUUUAAGGUGGGUACUAGCUAAAGAUGAGCUAGUCACUCAGGAUCAGCAAGAUGGAUAAAAAGAAUAAGAAGUCCUGAGAGUUGAUCACGUUAAACCCUAUUCUAACGCCCAUAACAAGAAGAAUGGCAGUCAAGAUUAAGUUCAAGUUAGAUGGAGUUAAGUCUUUCCAGAGUAACCUCGACAAGCUGAAAGCUUUUGGAGAACAAGAUGAUGUAAUGUCAGGGUGUUCUGGAUCCACAUGUGCGUCUGUUGCUUCUGCUAAGGUCACUGAAUAAGAUGAAUUAGAGCACGAGGGUGGUUAAUACACAUCAUAGAAUAAGGUCCUGAUUCCCACAAAGUUUGGACUGACUCGAUUUAAAUACCGCUGUUUUCUUGUAGUGAUACCUGUUAGUUUUAGAUAGCGUUUGUAUAUUUGGAAACGCUAUGAUAGAAUUGUAUAAUUAGAAACGUUAUGAUAGCUUAUGUUUAAUAGCAAAAUAAUUAAAACGCUAUGUUUGGUUUUUUAAAUCUCUUAACCCUAAACAAGUUUUUAAACCCUAAACUCUAACUAUAAACCUUAAAACUCUUAUAUUCUCAUACUAUAACUUCAACUUUUGAAUUUGAUCUCAAACUUAUUCUUUUUAAUUUUAAUAUAUAACUUCCAAACACACAAACCUUAAUUCUUCAAUCAAACUCUAUACCCUAAAUCCUAACAUCAAACAUAUAUAAACAUAGCUCUUAAAUUGAAUCAUAAACAUAUAAACUCUAAAGCACAAAACAUAUAAUUUGUAUAAUAAUUUCAAAAUCAUAACACACAGCUCUUAAAUUUGUGUUAAAAAUACUUAAUAUAACUCUAAUUAUUCAAACCCUAUUAUGAAAAUUUUGAAAAUCAUAAAUCUACAAAAUCCAAAUCAAAUUUAUAUUUCAAAUGUUAAAUUAUAAUAUCUAAUCUUUAAAUUUAGAAAAAUUCUAAAAGAAUUAAAAAUAAAUGUAAACACAUUAAACUUUAAUUUAAACUCUAAAUCAUAAAUCAAACUCCAACUUUUUAAUAUACACAAACCUUAAACAAAAAACAAUAAUGUGUACUGAAGAAAAACAAAAAGUUGUCGAAGAAAAGGUAAAAAAUAAAAAAGGCUUUUCUAUUGGCCAAUACAUGAAUCAUCUGGAUUGCAAUACAAACCCUUAGAUUAGUUUAAUCUAACGACCAUAAUUCAUUUGUGCUUCUCUUCUUCUUUGUUUCAUUUUCUCUCUUCCUCUCUCUCUCUCUCUCUCUCUCUCAUACCUCUUCCCCUUCCCCUUCGAGUCUUCUCUGUUUAAUCUUCUCUUCUUCUCAACUAUUUUUUCUUGAAGUUUGGAUAUUGAGUUUGAUUUAGCAAUCCGCCUUCGACUCGGCCUCUGGUGCCUUCAACUCCGCCUCUGGUGCCUUCAACACUGCCUCUGGCGCCUUCAAUUCCAAACUCUGCUGCUGCGUUUGUCAUUCAAGAUACAUCUCUUUUACUCUUUAUCAAAAUUUAAUCUCAAACCUCUCUCUCGUCUCUUGUGUUUCCAUUUUUUUCAAUUAUCCAGAUUUAAAAAAAAGUAACGAGAAUGUUGGGACAGGUGGGGAGAGCUUUCUCAGAGAUGAAAACGGCAACGAAUCUCAAGCACCACCGUCUUCAAUGCCAACAUAUUGCGAUGCUCCUCUGCCUGAUGACGAAGCCCAGAGACGCGCCGUUUUUGAUUGGGUUGAGGUGAAGCUCUCCGAAUCUGCCGCUCAAGACUCUAACUCCACCGCGUCUCUGAAGAAGAGGAGAGAGGAUGAAAUAGAAGAGGAGAGAAGAUGAAGAAGACCAACACCGGAUCUGACAAAGCUUUGGUGUGGAGAUGGCAGAGGAAGCUAGUGGUGGU